AGCCAGUGAUGACAAACAUAAAUUUUCUGACACCUCGUAUGAGAGCCGCAAGGUGGCUCCUGAUUCUAGCUCUGAUCUGAGGCUC
Molecule: small nucleolar RNA, 85 nt
Filed under: Amphilophus citrinellus (Midas cichlid)
Lineage: Eukaryota; Metazoa; Chordata; Actinopteri; Cichliformes; Cichlidae
Description: Small nucleolar RNA SNORD60 (ENSACIG00000015439.1)
Rfam family: Small nucleolar RNA SNORD60
About the family: U60 belongs to the C/D class of snoRNA which contain the C (UGAUGA) and D (CUGA) box motifs. Most of the members of the box C/D family function in directing site-specific 2'-O-methylation of substrate RNAs.
Source: RNAcentral